This 501-nucleotide ribosomal RNA is filed under the name Pseudomonas sp. CL1.122. RNAcentral describes it as "bacterial SSU rRNA". It matches the Rfam family "Bacterial small subunit ribosomal RNA", at positions 1 to 502 of the family's 1533-position model. The record is from RNAcentral. Lineage: Bacteria; Pseudomonadati; Pseudomonadota; Gammaproteobacteria; Pseudomonadales; Pseudomonadaceae.
UUGAGCUUGAUCCCUGGCUCAGAUUGAACGCUGGCGGCAGGCCUAACACAUGCAAGUCGAGCGGUAGAGAGAAGCUUGCUUCUCUUGAGAGCGGCGGACGGGUGAGUAAUGCCUAGGAAUCUGCCUGGUAGUGGGGGAUAACGCUCGGAAACGGACGCUAAUACCGCAUACGUCCUACGGGAGAAAGCAGGGGACCUUCGGGCCUUGCGCUAUCAGAUGAGCCUAGGUCGGAUUAGCUAGUUGGUGAGGUAAUGGCUCACCAAGGCGACGAUCCGUAACUGGUCUGAGAGGAUGAUCAGUCACACUGGAACUGAGACACGGUCCAGACUCCUACGGGAGGCAGCAGUGGGGAAUAUUGGACAAUGGGCGAAAGCCUGAUCCAGCCAUGCCGCGUGUGUGAAGAAGGUCUUCGGAUUGUAAAGCACUUUAAGUUGGGAGGAAGGGCAGUAAAUUAAUACUUUGCUGUUUUGACGUUACCGACAGAAUAAGCACCGGCUAACU